Long non-coding RNA from Vicia villosa (hairy vetch), 969 nucleotides. RefSeq lists it as uncharacterized. The record is from RefSeq and is a predicted model, not a curated record. Lineage: Eukaryota; Viridiplantae; Streptophyta; Magnoliopsida; Fabales; Fabaceae. The transcript has 3 exons.
GUGAAUGGCUUCCUUCUUCCCUCUUCUCAUUCAAAACGCGGCGGCCGGAGAAAUUCUUUCAUCUCCACCGUGAUUCAAUCAAUUAAUCAGUCUCUUCCGUCUCAUCCCUCGAUUUGUUCUUGUUCUGAGAUCGUGUUGUUGAUGGUGCUAAGACCGGAGGGUUCGCGAUGGUGGCGAAAUCGUCGACGAGAUGCGUUGAAGAUGAUGUUGAUAUCGCGGUUUGAUGACGAUGAUACUGGUGAUGAUGAAGAACGUCGUAGUUGAGAAUUCUUGGAGAUUGAUCGGGGGACUCACCGGCGACGACGAUUCUUAGAGGCGCUCCAACGGAAAAGUAGAUACCAGAGGUUCUUCAGGGCAGACUUUGGUUUUGAAAUCAAGGGCAUGGUUCAAGUUAGCAGUAGAGCUGGUUUUUUGGACUGGAGCAUGGUUCCAACUGCAGCAGGUUUACUGACACAAUAGAAUCACAACAUGAAUGGCUUUGUGAUUUGAUGACAUGGAUGAGUUGGUGAAAUGGUGAACUCUCAUGGUUUUGUACAGGUCUGUCAGCUGGUAUGAGUUAUAGGUGGGUUUCUCAAUGCAUUUUGGUGAACUUUGAAUAGAUAGGGACUGAUUUGGAUGUGGUUUUCUUUUGGAUUGAAUUUGGUGACUGCGUGUAUUCUGAAUUGGCUUUUCCUUGUGCAGCAGGUUUGGAAUGUUGUAGAUAUGUGCAGGGACUUGGAAACUGGUUCGGUUUACAGCCGGUUCUAAUAAGAACUUCACAAAACCUGAAGUGUUAUUUUUCAAGGGCUUGAUAUGACUCCAAGAAAUGGCAACUGUUUACAAACGCUCAUCGCUUUGAUUGGAAAAGGUCGAGGAAAUGUAACAGGGGCAUUUGUAUUGUUUGAAUUGUAGAGUUUUUUGUAAAUGACUUUGGAAUGGCUAUGCAUCUUAAACUCAAAACCAAACUUUGAAUUUAUCUUCCCUUCAAAU